AGUGAACGCUGGCUGUAGGCCUAACACAUGCAAGUCGAACGGCAGCACAGAGGAGCUUGCUCCUUGGGUGGCGAGUGGCGGACGGGUGAGGAAUACAUCGGAAUCUACUCUGUCGUGGGGGAUAACGUAGGGAAACUUACGCUAAUACCGCAUACGACCUACGGGUGAAAGCAUGGGACCUUCGGGCCUUGCGCGAUUGAAUGAGCCGAUGUCGGAUUAGCUAGUUGGCGGGGUAAAGGCCCACCAAGGCGACGAUCCGUAGCUGGUCUGAGGGGGUGAGCAGCCACACUGGAAAUGAGACACGGUCCAGGCUCCUACGGGAGGCAGCAGUGGGGAAUAUUGUAAAAUGGGCGCAAGCCUGAUCCAGCCAGACCGCGUGGGUGAAGAAGGCCUUCGGGUUGUAAAGCCCUUUUGUUGGGAAAGAAAUCCAGCUGGCUAAUACCCGGUUGGGAUGACGGUACCCAAAGAAUAAGCACCGGCUAACUUCGUGCCAGCAGCCGCCGUAA
This 506-nucleotide ribosomal RNA is filed under the name uncultured bacterium. RNAcentral's name for it is "partial 16S ribosomal RNA". It matches the Rfam family "Bacterial small subunit ribosomal RNA", at positions 29 to 523 of the family's 1533-position model. The record is from RNAcentral.